AAUUACAAUUGGAUGGAAGUCGAGGACAAGGAGAAGGAAGCUUAGGAUGAGGAGGAAGAGAAGCAGCAGAAGCAUCUUUAGGGAUCUCUAUGAUGUCAUUGAGAGGUAGCGGCGAGAGGCGGGACCUCGACUCAUCCAGCUGGAGAGCCUGAUCAGGAGGCGUCGAACAUUAACUCUGCUCUUCCAGGGCACCCUGCAGACUCGGCUACUGGCAACAGCGAGGGAGUGCGGCCGUCGCUGGGAUGACGUGAACGCCAAACAGGAGUCCAUCACAGGUCGACUGCAGCUCCUUGUCUCAGAGUGGGAGGGAUUUGAAGCACAAAGUGAGGACCUUGUCGUUUGGUUGGCUGAUAUGGAUGUCCACCUGAGUGAGGUUGACCAGCUGACAGGAAACACCUGUGAAAAGCUGAAACAACUGCAGGUGUUGGGGUUGUUUUGAUAUGACAUAUAUUUGAUAUGAUACAUACGUCAAGAGACAUUAUCCUAAACUGGACUAACAAAGAACCAUGAGU
Pelmatolapia mariae (spotted tilapia) is the source of this 512-nucleotide long non-coding RNA. RefSeq lists it as uncharacterized. Lineage: Eukaryota; Metazoa; Chordata; Actinopteri; Cichliformes; Cichlidae. The record is from RefSeq and is a predicted model, not a curated record. The transcript is spliced from 3 exons.